CUACGUGCCAGCAGCCGCGGUAAUACGUAGGUGGCAAGCGUUGUCCGGAAUUAUUGGGCGUAAAGCGCGCGCAGGCGGAUCAGUUAGUCUGUCUUAAAAGUUCGGGGCUUAACCCCGUGAUGGGAUGGAAACUGCUGAUCUAGAGUAUCGGAGAGGAAAGUGGAAUUCCUAGUGUAGCGGUGAAAUGCGUAGAUAUUAGGAAGAACACCAGUGGCGAAGGCGACUUUCUGGACGAAAACUGACGCUGAGGCGCGAAAGCCAGGGGAGCGAACGGGAUUAGAUACCCUGGUAGUCCAUGCCGUAAACGUUGGGCACUAGGUGUGGGGGACAUUCCACGUUUUCCGCGCCGUAGCUAACGCAUUAAGUGCCCCGCCUGGGGAGUACGGCCGCAAGGCUAAAACUCAAAGAAAUUGACGGGGGCCCGCACAAGCGGCGGAGCAUGCGGAUUAAUUCGAUGCAACGCGAAGAACCUUACCAAGGCUUGACAU
RNAcentral lists this ribosomal RNA (488 nucleotides) under uncultured bacterium. RNAcentral's name for it is "bacterial SSU rRNA". It matches the Rfam family "Bacterial small subunit ribosomal RNA", at positions 501 to 987 of the family's 1533-position model. The record is from RNAcentral.